CCUCCUAGGGGGGCAGCAGUGAGGAAUAUUGGUCAAUGGCCGAGAGGCUGAACCAGCCAAGUCGCGUGAGGGAUGACGGCCCUACGGGUUGUAAACCUCUUUUGUCGGGGAGCAAAGAGAGUCACGUGUGACUCAUUGAGAGUACCCGAAGAAAAAGCAUCGGCUAACUCCGUGCCAGCAGCCGCGGUAAUACGGAGGAUGCGAGCGUUAUCCGGAUUUAUUGGGUUUAAAGGGUGCGUAGGCGGGACCUUAAGUCAGCGGCAAAAUUGCGGUGCUCAACGCCGUAGAGCCGUUGAAACUGGGGG
RNAcentral lists this ribosomal RNA (305 nucleotides) under uncultured bacterium. Its description in RNAcentral is "bacterial SSU rRNA". It matches the Rfam family "Bacterial small subunit ribosomal RNA", at positions 335 to 639 of the family's 1533-position model. The record is from RNAcentral.